GAUGAACGCUGGCGGCGUGCCUAAUACAUGCAAGUCGAGCGAACAGACGAGGAUCUUGCUCCUUUGACGUUAGCGGCGGACGGGUGAGUAACACGUGGGUAACCUACCUAUAAGACUGGGAUAACUUCGGGAAACCGGAUCUAAUACCGGAUAAUAUGUCGAACCGCAUGGUUCGAUAGUGAAAGAUGGCUCUGCUAUCACUUAUAGAUGGACCCGCGCCGGAUUAGCUAGUUGGUAAGGUAACGGCUUACCAAGGCAACGAUACGUAGCCGACCUGAGAGGGUGAUCAGCCACACUGGAACUGAGACACGGUCCAGACUCCUACGGGAGGCAGCAGUAGGGAAUCUUCCGCAAUGGGCGAAAGCCUGACGGAGCAACGCCGCGUGAGUGAUGAAGGUCUUCGGAUCGUAAAGCUCUGUUAUUAGGGAAGAACAAAAGUGUAAGUAACUGUGCACGUCUUGACGGUACCUAAUCAGAAAGCCACGGCUAACUACGUG
Molecule: ribosomal RNA, 497 nt
Filed under: uncultured bacterium
Lineage: Bacteria
Description: partial 16S ribosomal RNA
Rfam family: Bacterial small subunit ribosomal RNA
Source: RNAcentral